Molecule: ribosomal RNA, 371 nt
Filed under: uncultured bacterium
Lineage: Bacteria
Description: bacterial SSU rRNA
Rfam family: Bacterial small subunit ribosomal RNA
Source: RNAcentral
AACGAACGCUGGCGGCAUGCCUAACACAUGCAAGUCGAACGAGACCUUCGGGUCUAGUGGCGCACGGGUGCGUAACGCGUGGGAAUCUGGCCCUUAGGUUCGGAAUAACUUCGGGAAACUGAAGCUAAUACCGGAUGAUGACGUAAGUCCAAAGAUUUAUCGCCUAAGGAUGAGCCCGCGUUGGAUUAGCUAGUUGGUGAGGUAAAGGCUCACCAAGGCGACGAUCCAUAGCUGGUCUGAGAGGAUGAUCAGCCACACUGGGACUGAGACACGGCCCAAACUCCUACGGGAGGCAGCAGUGGGAAUAUUGGACAAUGGGCGCAAGCCUGAUCCAGCCAUGCCGCGUGCAGGAUGAAGGCCUUCGGUGUAAC